Molecule: ribosomal RNA, 530 nt
Filed under: uncultured Modestobacter sp.
Lineage: Bacteria; Bacillati; Actinomycetota; Actinomycetes; Geodermatophilales; Geodermatophilaceae
Description: bacterial SSU rRNA
Rfam family: Bacterial small subunit ribosomal RNA
Source: RNAcentral
GUGGGGAAUAUUGCGCAAUGGGCGAAAGCCUGACGCAGCGACGCCGCGUGAGGGAUGACGGCCUUCGGGUUGUAAACCUCUUUCAGUAGGGACGAAGCGAAAGUGACGGUACCUACAGAAGAAGCACCGGCCAACUACGUGCCAGCAGCCGCGGUAAUACGUAGGGUGCAAGCGUUGUCCGGAAUUAUUGGGCGUAAAGAGCUCGUAGGCGGUCUGUCACGUCGGCUGUGAAAACCCGAGGCUCAACCUCGGGCCUGCAGUCGAUACGGGCAAACUAGAGUACUGCAGGGGAGACUGGAAUUCCUGGUGUAGCGGUGAAAUGCGCAGAUAUCAGGAGGAACACCGGUGGCGAAGGCGGGUCUCUGGGCAGUAACUGACGCUGAGGAGCGAAAGCGUGGGGAGCGAACAGGAUUAGAUACCCUGGUAGUCCACGCCGUAAACGUUGGGCGCUAGAUGUGGGGCUCAUUCCACGAGUUCCGUGUCGCAGCUAACGCAUUAAGCGCCCCGCCUGGGGAGUACGGCCGCAAGGC